GUUUCAAAUCUCUGAGUGUCCUUAGUGGUGCUGGGCAGUGAGGUGAGUGGCUGUAUUAAGCCAUAGAGAACAAAUACUUGGAGAAGAUGAAGAAGGAAAUGAGGAGGCACUAAAAAAAAAUUAAAAUUGCAUUUUGGCUUAUAACUAGAAGAUAAUGAAAGUCUUUUUUCUGUUUGCUUAUUGGUAACAAUUAUAAACCUAAACAUACUUCUUCCUACUCAUAGAAUUAUUAUUACUUAUGUUUAAAGGAUUUGCAUUUUGAAAAUUAAAAUUUAGAACCAAACAGCACUUAAAGCUGUUUCUAACUGUCUUUUAGCUAGGCUAUGUCUCUAAUCCUAAGGUUGAUUUAGGACUUCAAAACUCCCACUGUGUACAGCAUUACACAAUCCACUGUUUUGCAGUCUGCUUGUUUACUUGUGUUCUCAGCUGCCUGGGGAUAAUGGCAGGGAAACAACUUGUUUAAAGCUGUAUGCACAAAUCUUGCGGGCUUCAGUGAAGUAAUAUUUUCACUGACACCAAGAAUUCAUAUUCUGACCAACAAAAGGCAAAGGCAGCAUGCAACAAUAAAACUUGUAUUAAAUUAUUAUUGUAACAUUUUAACCGUGGCUAAAGUGUUUGGAAAAAAGAAAAUCAGUAACAUCUGAAGCAAAAAAUACACACAAAGAAAUAGCAAUGUUUAAGAUCAGGCCAUGUCUCAUCACCAGAGCAGCGAUGCCAGUUUCUCACACUGAUGUACUCAGACACAGAAUUAAGAGGGACAUAUUCCUUCCUAUUCACAACAGGAGCCCAAAAUCCAGAUUUCUUACCAUACACAUACAUGGCUUUACAACAGCAACAGAAAUAUCCCUCAAGGAGCUAGAGGAAAAUAUUUAACUUGCAAAAAUCAAAGCUUAAUUUUUAGGCAGCAAUACCAAGAAAGAACUCCUCCCUUUCUCUGUCUCCUGGGUUAUAAGCCAGAUUUAAUAGCAGAAAUGACACAAAUUGCAGAUGUCCACCCUUCACUUUUUCUGAGUGCACUUCUUGCCAAAAGUAGCAUAUUAAAAUACAAUUUAUAUUCACAGAUAAUAAAGCUUUUAUUGCUGAUUUCAAGCAAUGAAACUACACCACUGAAGGGAAACUGCAAUUAAGGCCUGUGAAGUACAGCGUGAGCCAAAGCAGAAAAUAGCAUAUUCAGGCUCAGAAUAUUCAGUUUCUCUUUCACAGGGAUGGUUAUGAGGCAGAUUCAAGCACUUUCAGUGAAAAUCCUCUUCACAUUUAUCAGAUGAACCAUUGCAAAAAAAUUAUAGGCUCCUUCCCCCCAAAAAAUAGAUUAAAAAUACCAUCAUUUUAUGUAGUUCUUCUGUGAGUAUGUCAACCAAUGUCUGAUUGCAAGACUGUAAGUAU
Non-coding RNA from Cyanistes caeruleus (blue tit), 1383 nucleotides. The record is from RefSeq and is a predicted model, not a curated record. NCBI's taxonomy places the organism in Eukaryota, Metazoa, Chordata, Aves, Passeriformes, Paridae.